Molecule: non-coding RNA, 80 nt
Organism: Mycena polygramma
Lineage: Eukaryota; Fungi; Basidiomycota; Agaricomycetes; Agaricales; Mycenaceae
Source: the annotation of a GenBank genome assembly
GGGCACGUAGUAUAGGGGUUAUUGCGUCCGCUUCGCAUGGCGCUUGCGGAAGGUCUGGAGUUCGAUUCUCCACUUGAUUC